RNAcentral lists this long non-coding RNA (6999 nucleotides) under Prunus persica (peach). RNAcentral describes it as "long non-coding RNA (PPER_LNC005487)". Lineage: Eukaryota; Viridiplantae; Streptophyta; Magnoliopsida; Rosales; Rosaceae. The record is from RNAcentral.
UAGAUUUAGAUCAUAAAUAAAAUAAAGAGGCCAUGAAAACUCUGGGCGAUGAUGGAGGGAUUAAGGGGAGUAUGGUGUUGGAAUAAGAUACAGAGGAGUUUUCUUAUGGACUGUGAGACCGUAAACUUCGGACAUGUCCAAGGUCUCAGCCAAUUUACUGCCACCACUAGGCAACUUCCAGUCGAACCAAAACAGGAUGUUAGCAAGCACAUAUUCAGCUGAAGCAACCCCAAAGGCGAGUCCAGGACACACCCUUCUCCCAGCGCCAAAUGGGAUCAGCUCAAACUCCUGACCUACGAAACCAACGGAGUUCUCCUCGAACCUCUCUGGCAUAAACUCAUCUGGUUUGUCCCAUACUUUGGGGUCUCUUUGUACAGCGUAUGCAUUCACAAACACCUGUGUUUUCGCAGGUAUAUCGUAACCUCCCAAUUUUACAUCUGACAUUGCCUCCCGAGGAAGUAAAAGAGGCGCUGGAGGGUGAAGUCUUAAAUUUUCUUUGAUCACACAUGUCAUGUAUUUCAUUUCCUUGAUGUCACUCUCCUCUACGUAUCCCCUUCUCCCCGCCACUCUUCUUACCUCUUCUUGGACUUUCUUCAUCACCCGUGGAUUUUGCAAAAGCUCUGACAUUAACCAUAUCGCUGCUGUCCAACUAGUAUCACUUCCACCCACAAACAUGUCCUAAAAUCAUAAAAUCAACAAGCCAAAUCAAUCUUCAGCCUCAUAUAUAUUUAUCAAUGUGACUAAAGCUAGGGAGGGGGGAGAGGGGGAUGGGGGAUAUACAUACCUGCAGAAUUGCUUUGACAUUGGAGGUAGUGAGCUCAAAGUCGAGUGAGCCGUUCUUUUGAACGUCGAGGAGAAUAUCCACAAUAUCCUUCUUCCGAGGCUUACCUUCUUUCUGUGCUGCCUUAUGUUCGUCAAUCAACUUAUCGAAAAAUUUAUCAAAUUCUAACCAAAUGGAUUUCAAAUACGCAAGGUAGCCUCUGGCACGGUCAAUCCAUUUCAAAGAAGGGAAGAAAUCUCCAAAGCUGAAACUCAUCACCUGAGUCAUCAACUCCUUUGUGGUCUCUCCAAACCAAUUGUCUUCUUUGUCCUCAAACUUCUGUCCAAGAAUGCACCUGCAGAUAAUGUUGUUGGAGGUUGACACCAGCAGCUCCCCAAGAUUAAUGGGAGCCCCGUUCGCGCUGGCGGAGGCUUUGCGAAUCUUGCUGACCAACUCUGCAACUUCCUCCAUCCUUGCGUACUGAAACUGGUGCACUCUUUUGAGACUCAGAAGCUCAAGAACACAAAUUCUUCGAACUUGUCUCCAGUACUCCCCAUAAGGAGCAAACGCAAUGUCAUGGCCGUCGUAGAACAAUAUACUUGGAGCCGUGGUUUGAGGCCGGCUGCAGAACACAAUGUCUUGGGUCUUCAUCACGUCCUUGGCCAUCUCUGCAGAUGAAACAAUCAGCGUUGGAACUUUUCCUAAGUGCAGAAGCAUAACAUCGCCAUACUUCUUCGAGAGAGCUUGAAGAGAGCGGUGUGGGAAUGAUCCUAGCUGGUGAAGGUUCCCAAUCCAAGGCAGCCUUGGUGGGGAUGGUGGCAGUUUGAUUUUCUGGUUUUUCCCACUUGAUGAGGAUGAUCUUGUAAGUGCAAACAAUAUGAAUAUUGAAAGGACGAGAAGAGGAAGCAGGAAAAGAUUGCUCUGUAGUUGCUGCCACAUUUGAUUGAAAAGUGAAAGUACCGCCAUUGCUUUAAUUUUGGGUUGCCAGUUGAAAUCUGAGGGCCUUCUUCUUCUUAUUUAUAGAUAAGUUGUCCAGCUUGGGAGCCCACACUUAUUGAAACUUUCAAUUACGCCUGCGUCAGAGGUCGGUUGUAAUUGUCAAAUAGAUAUAAUUUUUUAUUCAGAGCAAGGGUUGAUUUCAAUAUAAUGUCGAUAUAAAUAUUUGAGAUAUUUGUUCAAAAUGGUGGUCCAAGAUUUUCAAACACCAUUUCAAAUCAACAAAUUCAAUUGCUAAUUUUCAACCACUCAAAUUAUUUGUGAACAUGUCUGGUAAUUUUAUCUAUGUAGUUUGAUUUUAUUGUAAUUUAAAGAUAUCAUUUGUAAUGAAAUGAAAUUCUUUGCACGAAGGGCUGGCUUUAACUUCAAUUUUGGCAAUUUGAUCUCUGUAGUUUGAUUUUAUUGCAAUUUAAGGAUAUGCUUAAAUUUCCAUCUAAUUUCUUAACGAAAUAAACAUGUGUCUCUUAGUUGGAGGGGUAUUUCUGAUUGAAUUUAGAUGUUAAAUUGACAAAAUUAAAACUACAGAGAAUAAAAUGAAAAAACUGGUAAACUACAUAGGAACCAAAAGUUACAUAAUGACAGAGUUCGGUUAUGCUACAGUUAUCACACUCGUGGAGACAAUAAUUAUUGUCUGUGGAGGGAUACAUUUGAUGAGUUAUGUGUUUAGUUUCUGUUGGCUUUAAUUCCAACUGUGAUGUUAGUAAUGUAGCUUAGGAGGAUUACAAUACUGGAAUUUUAUUUUCAUAGGAAUUAAAUCAGAGAUUAGUCUUUUCUCAACUUGUCUUCCUUUCCUGCAUGGAAUUUUUUCAGAUUUUUGUUUCGCUUAUUUUGGUAAGCAUGACAAGGUUAGAUUCGUCUUCACGUACACUUAUGACAACCGUCCUCGGCCCCAUCCAAAUCCGACCACAUCAGAAUUCGAGCCGGCACAUCCUCGUGGACCAGAUUUAGCCGUAGCAUAUCAAGGGAAGAUAAAAGUUAGAAUUAAAGCCAACACAACAGAGAGAUGUUGUCAUAGCAUCAAGGGAAGGAUGGAGGGCAGAGAGAGAGAGAGAGAGAGAGAGAGAGAGAGAGAGAGCCAUGCAUGCACGCAUUCUUUUGAAGUUGCAGAAGAAUUAAUAUCCACCAGAUGUCGUCUUCCACAAUUAUUGAAGCUUGCAAUUAAGCCUGCGCCAGAGAUUUGGUGUAAUAGUGAAACUGCUACAAAUUGACAAUAAGUAUCGGGUCCACCAGGAUGUCUUCUUCCACCAACCUACUAUACGACAUGGCAAAAAAAUUUCUGGAUGUGUUGGGAAAGAUUCUGACAUUGCCCCCUUUUGAUGGUCCAAGAUUUUCCCAUUUUGGAUGAAAAAUUUUCAACCCAUUUUGGAUAACAAAGACAUGCUGGUUUUCAGUUCCAGUUUUGUCGUAAUUAAUUGCAUGCACACAACUACUCGCCGCAGUUGCCGCUUUUAUCUUCUUCACCUUACUAUUGCACCAUUGAGAAAUUAUAGAACAUUACAGUAGAAUGGUCAUUUCAAAAGUUUCUUCUCUUUAUGUAUUUACUAGUGACAAACCGUUCUCGGCCAUUCCAAAUCCGAUCGACCACAUCACAAUUUGAGGCACAACCUCAUGGACCCGAUGUAUAUGUAGACGUAAUAUCCACCACCAACUUAAGAACCAAGCCUACUCUUCUUUGAUCAAAAUCUGCUGCAAAUCUAUAAUUUGCCAUUGAUCUUAGAUUUUUCAGUUAUAGGUAAUGUCGAUAAAAGUAAUGAUAAUUGCUAUAUUUACAGAUUUCUGGAAAAUAAACAUAGAAUUUAAAUUCGAAACAAGGGAAGAUGUUGCCGUGGUAUCAAGGGCAGAGGGAGAGGUGUAGGAUCGCUUUCCAGGUAGUCUUGAGUGAGCUCAGAGUCUGAGCCAUGCAUGCCAUGCCAUGCCAUGCUUUUAAACUCAAAUAAACACGUUUUUUGCCUGCUACCGCAAAAACUGGUCCAUGAGGUUGUGGACCAAAGUCUGAUGUGGUCCGGCUUUGAAUUGGCCGACGACGGUUGUUACGUGAAGACAAAAUCUAACUUCUUCAUGCUUCUUACCAAAAUAAGAUAGACAAGCCAUGCAUGAAGACAAGCUGAUUUAUUUCCCUUCUAUUUUGGUCCAGGCCUAAUCACAUUGACUGCCUAUGUGAAAAAUUAAAAUGAAAGCAUAUGUGAAGGAUUAUUGUCACCCAGCUGAUUUAAAACCUACACGAUCUAAGGACUCAACCAUCAUGAUGCAAAUUUUCUACCAUUCAUUCACAUAUGCAGUAUAAAUACAUAGAAAAUAGAAAUACUCUACUUGUUGAAUCAUCAUGAUCCAUUAAAUGUACCAAUCAAUGGAUCAUGAUGACCCAACAAUGAAUGUAUCAUAACUGAACCCGUCAUAACGAUGAAUUAAGGUGUCAUUAUAUUGUAAGCUUUUGGAAUAGUGGGACAGAGAGAAAAAAGUAAAAUAAUAAAUAAAAUGGUGACCAUGAAAAAUUGUUUUGUGGGAUAAAGGAAUAUAUCGUGAAGAAGCAACAAUUGAAAAUAGAGUGCAAGUCAGCCCUUGAAGUUGUGUUGUGUGCAAGCAAUUAAGCAUAUACUUGUGAAGCAGCAAUGACAUAAAUUAGAGCACUUCCAGCGGCGAGGGGAAGCUCGGCAGGAGAGGGCUUAGGCCCGCGUGAUGGCUUCAGCGCCCAAGGCCAAGCUUGGGCAAGGUGUGGGGCCCACCAACCUGGGCAAGCCCAUAGGCAAAUUCAACAUGUGCUGCUGCUUGGGCAAGUGACGUAAUGAUGACAUCAGUAGUCAGUUAAAAUAAUAAUAAUAAUAAAAUUUAAAAAGAAAAAAAUACCAAAAAAUUCAGAAUUUUUUAUUUAUAAAUAUCAAACCAUAGUCUUUACUUGCAACGCCAAAACCCUAUCAAAAUUAAUCUUUUAUGCAUAAAAAAUAAAAAUAAUUUAAAGUGAAUAAUAAUUGCCAUUUGUCAUGGCAAUGAGUGGAAAUACACUUUGCCUUUUGCAAGGGUUAGCAUUAUUCAUGUGAAUAGUAAUAGACCUUACCUCCCCUUGCUCUUUGCCAUGGCAAAUGAAUGAAAGUGCUCUUAAGUGCUGCAACAACAUGCGGGGUAGAUUUCAUUUCAACCAAUUCACAAAUAAUUUGUGUCAAAACUUAAAACUAGUAACUGAACUUAAAUGGUUUGUUUGAGAAUCUUGGACGACCAAAACAAGCUUACACGAUUUUGAACAAAAACAAUUAAGCUCAUUUCCUGUUGCCCCAUGUUGCAAGUUUCUUUUUGGGUCACACUCUGCCCCUCACCGUCAAAUUUGUCAAAACAUGUGUUAAAUAUGUUGACAUGAUGUGAAAGGGACCCAUUGUUCUGCUAAAAUACAUUUCACUUAAUCACCAUGUGUGCAAGAAUAAUAAUAAAAUUAUUUAACCAUUAAAAAAUAAGAUUGAUUAAAAAAAAAAAAAACUCCAAUUUCCCAUUUAGUAAAAUAUUGAAGGUAAUCUAACUUGACACGAUUCUAUGCCUUUACUCUUUAUAUAUUAGUAUAAGCAAUGGUCACACACACUAGUUGCACAGUGUUAUGGGUGUUUAAACUUGGAACCCCUCGUCUACAAGUUAAGAUCAUUUUUCAUUAAGAUACAAAAGUAGUAUAAAAAAAUGUAUUGCAUGUGACAAAACUCUAUGGACUUUUUUUUCGUUAACAUUACAACCUAGUUGUGGGCUUUAAUUAUUAGUCUCAUCCAGAGCAAAAUGGGUGAAGGUACCUUGCACAGGUUUUGGAAUGCCGGGACACAGAAAAAAGGGAAAUAGUUGCCAUAAAAAUUGUCCGGGGGCGGGCCGUGGCCGGGGCCGGGUGGGGUGGUGUAUUGUAAGUAUGAGAUUAAUUUGUGAUGGAUUGAUUUUCUCAAGAAAAACAAUUACCGCUCAUUUCCCAUUGACCUUGUCCUUGAGAUUGGCCGACAACUGUUGGAAUUUGUAGCAUGUGUGUAGUAAAACCUAAGCUAGUCUCUUUCAAUCACCCUAAAAGCACUCACUAUGGCCGGGGUGAUAUCUUUUUUAAUUUUUUGCUUGUAAAUGGUGAUAAUUAUAAGUUAAAUUGGUUUUGUUUUUCUUUGUCAGAGCUGUUCAGAGGGUGCAGCCUCGCGAGAGAGUAUCAGACCUGUUCAGAAACUUGCUCGUCUUCAGGUUUGUGUUAAAUACCUGAAUGAAUCAAACAGUUCUGUGUGAGUAAUAAUUCUGCAAGCUCUGCUAUAUGUACACAUGGUUCUUCCAUACACAACUGAUACCAAAUUAUUUUCAAAGUAUCAGUCAGGCCAUUAUACCAAUCAAUUGGGUCUUUAGUUGGUACUCGUUUAUCUCUCCUUUCAUUUCACCAUAUCCAUUUUAUCUUGAGAUCUUCAGGAGAAACUACAAUUAAAUGCUUUUUCAAAUAGCCAAAUAAGAGAAACAAAAAUCUGAUUUUCCAUGCAUGAGGACAAGCUGAGAAGGCAAAUCUCUGGUUUAUUUUAGGCUAAAACUUAGACAAAUUCAAUGUCGAGUGCUUCCGUGUCAAAACUAUCAUCAUUAGUUGCCUAACUUGCCUGACUUUGCAGAGAAAAGGGAAGACUAGACACUCUUGAUGGCGUACCAACAUGUCAAGGACGAACCUGAAGCAAACACAUUGUAUCUAGAUACAUGCGGCAACAAUCAUGUGUGGUAGUAAGUCAUCUUUUCAUACUACUUUAUGUUUUAUAGUGACAACUCUUCAGUGAAAUAAUCCAUUUUAUGUUGAGAUGUUCACAAGAAACUACAAUUAAAUGCAUUUUCAAAUAGCCAAAGAUGAUUACAACAUCUCAGAGAUAUAUCACUCUGUAAUUAUUAUUAUUAUUAUUAUAAAUAUUUAUGUUGCUGCAGGCAUUGCAGAUACAACUUCUUGCUCAACAGAAAACAAACAAAAAAAAAACUAGAUUUAGAGCAUAAAUAAAAUAAAGAGGCCAUGAAAAUUCUGGAUGAUGAUGGAGGGAUUAAGGGGAGUAUGGUGUUGGAAUAAGAUACAGAGGAGUUUUCUUAUAGACUGUGAGACCGUAAACUUCGGACAUGUCCAAGGUCUCAGCCAAUUUACUGCCACCACUAGGCAACUUCCAGUCGAACCAAAACAGGAUGUUGGCAAGCACAUAUUCAGCUGAAGCAACCCCAAAGGCGAGUCCAGGACACACCCUUCUCCCAGCGCCAAAUGGGAUCAGCUCAAACUCCUGACCUAUGAA